GGGGGGGGGGGGAGGGGACCUAUUAGUCAGAUUUUUUACUUUUUGCCUAGCCUAGUUUUGAGACUGUGCUGAAAGAAGAGACUUAAACUAUAUUUUGCUGUCAACAAAUCCCACUUAAAGAAAACCGUGGGUCUGACUAAAGACACUGGUGGGAAUACAGGUGCUAAUUAGAACCAUGUUGAAACUCCAGCUGAUCCUGAGACAAACCCCUUUUGGGUUGUUGAUUGAACCUUUUGUAAAAACUAAAAUCAACCGACCAACUUACCCAUAAACUGCCUGAGAAUAGUCAAGCGCAGCAAAUCUCAUAUCCUUAUUCUAACCGCUGAGAAAGUACACAUGACAGAUACUGUUCUCCGAUUGCUUGCCAAUGGAAAACUGUGUGUGGCGGAAGGAACUAGACUUAUGUUCCACUAGCUGUCGUUCAUGAAACUCACUGUGUUACUUUUGGCAGCAGUAAGCAACUUGAUUGGCAUAUUAAAACUCAGGUGUUCCUUUGGCACCGGGGGUCAUGGAAAUUGGCAGGACAUGUUGUUUCUAAACUGAGUCAUGGUUAAUAAAGGAGCAGAGUUAAUUAUUUACUCUAUGGGUGUUUUGUAUCCUCUACUGUAAAUCUGUGAAAAUGAUGUUCGUGUUUGUUGUUUCUUUUGGAUUCAUAUGGAUUAAAAGCUCAUCUGUGACUUAUUUUCAUGUAAAUUAAAUGUUUCCUGAAAUGCAAAUGAACACAUUUAGUUGAAAAACUGAACCGUGUGAAAGAUUCCUUGCCUGUGUACUAUUAAAAAGAUUCUCACUCGACCUCGUUGUAAAACCAUCAGGAGACAUAGAGUCUAGCCUACUCAAGCCUACUAAGAGGUUUUUAUCUUCGGAGCAGGACUGUAUAGUUGGAAGAACAGGGGGGUUCUGGGAAAAACCAGCAGUCGGCCUCGGAGACAAUCAUCUUUACCACCACAACAUUGUAAACAUCGACGCACAUGCAUCUUGUUUAUCAGAUGACACAGAACACCACGUGCCUCUAAGUGAGCACAGACUCUCUGUCGUAUGAAGGUAGAACAAUAAUGCAGUUUCAACAUUUCCCUCCUUUUUGUUUAACUAUAACUACUAAUUAAAAGGAAAACAUAAAAGAAUGUUUACUGCAUAAAACCAAGACAUAAAAAAAGAAUCUCACAUGAAUUACUCUCAUGUGUCUAAAACCAUUAAAAAAAAAAAUAUAUAUAUAUAUAUAU
This is a long non-coding RNA of Gasterosteus aculeatus aculeatus (three-spined stickleback), 1220 nucleotides long. The record is from Ensembl. Lineage: Eukaryota; Metazoa; Chordata; Actinopteri; Perciformes; Gasterosteidae.